CAGCCGCCGCGGUAAUACAGAGGGUGCGAGCGUUAAUCGGAUUUACUGGGCGUAAAGCGUGCGUAGGCGGCUUCUUAAGUCGGAUGUGAAAUCCCUGAGCUUAACUUAGGAAUUGCAUUCGAUACUGGGAAGCUAGAGUAUGGGAGAGGAUGGUAGAAUUCCAGGUGUAGCGGUGAAAUGCGUAGAGAUCUGGAGGAAUACCGAUGGCGAAGGCAGCCAUCUGGCCUAAUACUGACGCUGAGGUACGAAAGCAUGGGGAGCAAACAGGAUUAGAUACCCCAGUUGUCCCUGUCUCUUAUAA
This 301-nucleotide ribosomal RNA is filed under the name uncultured bacterium. RNAcentral describes it as "partial 16S ribosomal RNA". It matches the Rfam family "Bacterial small subunit ribosomal RNA", at positions 509 to 809 of the family's 1533-position model. The record is from RNAcentral.